Molecule: ribosomal RNA, 1097 nt
Filed under: Bacillus licheniformis
Lineage: Bacteria; Bacillati; Bacillota; Bacilli; Caryophanales; Bacillaceae
Description: bacterial SSU rRNA
Rfam family: Bacterial small subunit ribosomal RNA
Source: RNAcentral
UUCCGGUGCGGCAGCUAUACAUGCAAGUCGAGCGGACAGAUGGGAGCUUGCUCCCUGAUGUUAGCGGCGGACGGGUGAGUAACACGUGGGUAACCUGCCUGUAAGACUGGGAUAACUCCGGGAAACCGGGGCUAAUACCGGAUGCUUGAUUGAACCGCAUGGUUCAAUUAUAAAAGGUGGCUUUUAGCUACCACUUACAGAUGGACCCGCGGCGCAUUAGCUAGUUGGUGAGGUAACGGCUCACCAAGGCAACGAUGCGUAGCCGACCUGAGAGGGUGAUCGGCCACACUGGGACUGAGACACGGCCCAGACUCCUACGGGAGGCAGCAGUAGGGAAUCUUCCGCAAUGGACGAAAGUCUGACGGAGCAACGCCGCGUGAGUGAUGAAGGUUUUCGGAUCGUAAAACUCUGUUGUUAGGGAAGAACAAGUACCGUUCGAAUAGGGCGGUACCUUGACGGUACCUAACCAGAAAGCCACGGCUAACUACGUGCCAGCAGCCGCGGUAAUACGUAGGUGGCAAGCGUUGUCCGGAAUUAUUGGGCGUAAAGCGCGCGCAGGCGGUUUCUUAAGUCUGAUGUGAAAGCCCCCGGCUCAACCGGGGAGGGUCAUUGGAAACUGGGGAACUUGAGUGCAGAAGAGGAGAGUGGAAUUCCACGUGUAGCGGUGAAAUGCGUAGAGAUGUGGAGGAACACCAGUGGCGAAGGCGACUCUCUGGUCUGUAACUGACGCUGAGGCGCGAAAGCGUGGGGAGCGAACAGGAUUAGAUACCCUGGUAGUCCACGCCGUAAAACGAUGAGUGCUAAGUGUUAGAGGGUUUCCGCCCUUUAGUGCUGCAGCAAACGCAUUAAGCACUCCGCCUGGGGAGUACGGUCGCAAGACUGAAACUCAAAGGAAUUGACGGGGGCCCGCACAAGCGGUGGAGCAUGUGGUUUAAAUUCGAAGCAACGCGAAGAACCUUACCAGGUCUUGACAUCCCUCUGACAACCCUAGAGAUAGGGACUUCCCCUUUCGGGGGCAGAGUGACAGGUGGUGCAUGGAUGUCGUCAGCUCGUGUCGUGAGAUGUGGGUAGUCCCGCACGAGGCGCAACCCUUGAUC